Molecule: ribosomal RNA, 275 nt
Filed under: uncultured prokaryote
Description: partial 16S ribosomal RNA
Rfam family: Bacterial small subunit ribosomal RNA
Source: RNAcentral
UACGUAGGUGGCGAGCGUUGUCCGGAAUUACUGGGUGUAAAGGGAGCGUAGGCGGGAGUGCAAGUUGAAUGUUAAAUCCAUCGGCUCAACCGAUAGCCGCGUUCAAAACUGCAUUUCUUGAGUGAAGUAGAGGUUGGCGGAAUUCCUAGUGUAGCGGUGAAAUGCGUAGAUAUUAGGAGGAACACCAGUGGCGAAGGCGGCCAACUGGGCUUUACUGACGCUGAGGCUCGAAAGCGUGGGGAGCAAACAGGAUUAGAUACCCGUGUAGUCCCUGA